CCAAUAGCGUAUAUUAAAGUUGUUGCAGUUAAAAAGCUCGUAGUUGAAUUUCGGGGUUCUACCGUUGGUCGGGCUAACCAGUCUGUACUAGCGUGUAGAAUUCCUACCUUCUGGGGAACCAUCAUGUUAUUAAUUUAGCGUGGUGGGAAACCAGGACCUUUACCUUGAAAAAAUUAGAGUGUUCAAAGCAGGCUUACGUCUGAAUACAUUAGCAUGGAAUAAUAAAAUAGGACGGUGGUCCUGUUCUGUUGGUUUCUGAAUCACCGUAAUGAUUAAUAGGGAUAGUUGGGGGCAUUAGUAUUCAAUUGUCAGAGGUGAAAUUCUUGGAUUUAUUGAAGACUAACUUCUGCGAAAGCAUUUGCCAAGGAUGUUUUCAUUAAUCAAGAACGAAAGUUAGGGGAUCGAAGACGAUCAGAUACCGUCGUAGUCUUAACCAUAAACUAUGCCGACUAGGGAUCAGACGAUGUUAAAUUUUAUUGACUCGUUCGGCGCCUUACG
Molecule: ribosomal RNA, 498 nt
Filed under: uncultured Glomeromycotina
Lineage: Eukaryota; Fungi; Glomeromycota
Description: partial small subunit ribosomal RNA
Rfam family: Eukaryotic small subunit ribosomal RNA
Source: RNAcentral